Molecule: long non-coding RNA, 779 nt
Organism: Bos taurus (domestic cattle)
Lineage: Eukaryota; Metazoa; Chordata; Mammalia; Artiodactyla; Bovidae
Source: Ensembl
GCCGCCGCCGUGCCGCGCCGCCGCCUGCGCCAACUGCGCACCUGGGAGCGCGCAAGGAGCACACACUGUGGCGGCCGCAUGCACCUGCGAGGAGACGCUUACGUAAACUGCGUCGCUGCCUCCCUCCCGGAGGCAGGCCCCCGCCUGCGGCAGCACCUGAGCCUUGCUGCGCUAGCGGCGAGAAAAAUUCAAAGCCUGGGACUUCCCUGGUGGCACAGUGGAUAGGAAUCUGCCAACGCUGGGAACGUGGGUUUGAUCCCUGGUCCGGGAAGAUUCCACACGCCGUGGAGCAACUAAGCCUGUGCACCACAACUACUGAGCCCAAAUGCUGAGACUACUGAAACCCAUGCACCUAGAGCCUGUGCUCCGAAACAAGAGAAGCCACCGAAAUGAGAAGCCCGUGCGCUGCAACUAGAAAGCAGCCCCCAUUUUGCAGCAAUUAGAGAAAGCCUGUGCAAACAGUGAAGACCCAGUGGGACCAAAAAUGAAAGUAAAUAAAGAGUUAAAAAAAAUUUUAAACCCAUUUUUCCAACUCUUCAAGAAGAAAUUCACUCUAGAAGAUACUCCUCAUCUAUCAAGUGGCUCUGAAUAGUCCCUGGCACACCACCACCUAGCCCUGACGGCUGUGAACUCCUCAGCAUCUCCCCGGCAGAGGCACCCAGUGACUCAUCAGAGAGCCCCUCUGCCUGGCGCCAGGCCGGGCGCAGGCGGGGUGUUGGGAGAGGUUGUUGAUAAGAGAUGGUCUUGCUGGGAGCCGCCUUCCAUCCUGAGGUUGCAGC